Long non-coding RNA from Saimiri boliviensis boliviensis (Bolivian squirrel monkey), 1706 nucleotides. Lineage: Eukaryota; Metazoa; Chordata; Mammalia; Primates; Cebidae. The record is from Ensembl.
UUAUGAUUAUGUUUUUCUACACUUUUAAUAAUCUCUUGCCUUUGACACUCCCUUUUUUUUUUUCCUAAUAAAAAAUUUAGGCCAAUUGUGGUGGCUCACGCCUGUAAUCCUAAUACUUUGGAAGGCCAAGGUGGGUGGAUCAGAAGGUCAGAAGAUCGAGACCAUCCUGGCCAACAUGGUGAAACCCCGUCCCUACUGAAAUACAAAAAAAAAAAAAAAAAAUUAGCCGGGUACGGUGGCACACGCCUGUAGUCCCAGCUGCUUGGGAGGCUGAGGCAGGGGGACUCACUUGAACCCUGGAGGCAGAGGUUGCACUGAGCCGAGAUUGCACCACUGCAUUCCAGCCUGGCAACAGAAUGAGACUCCGUGUCAAAAAAAAAAAAAAAAGAUUUGUAUUUACUUUGAAGCAUUCGGAAGGUCAACAAAACAACUGCAACAUUUUUUUUUUUUGCAAUUGCAAAGUGGUAUUUAGUUACAGAACAAUUAUUUUGUAUAAGCUGCAUCAGAGACAACUGAAGAUGAAAAAACCACCAUUCCCAUACAUAGCUAAUUUGUGCUAUGCACCAAGAAGAACCUGCUUUAAAUUUCCAUGCCAAUUUACAACCACCACCACCGCCCCCCCACCAACACCGUACAAAGCAAGUUUCUUCGAAACAUCACCAAUGGACAGGCCGAGAUGUUCUCCGUUGAUUUUUGGGCGAUACUCAGAACAGAACAGGUAAAAGGCUGAAGGAGGCCUCUUAGAUGCAUUGGUAUCCCUUGAACAACUUUUUUGUCUCCUCUUUAGGAGGGAUGUAGGUUUUCAUUUCUCUUUCAUGACAGGCCUUGUCCACCUUUGCCAUAUCUGCAAAUUUUCCUUUCUCUUUAGCUAGCAUGGUCUUCCACCUCUCUGAGCACUUCUUAGAAAACUGUGAGGGGCCAGACGUGGUGGCUCACACCUGUAAUCCAAGCACUUUGGAGGCCAAGGCGGGUGAAUCACCUGAGAUCGGGAGUUCAAGAGCAGCCUGACCAACGUGGUGAAACCCACUCUUUUAAAAAAAAAAAAAAGAAGAAGAAAGAAAGAAAACUCUGAAAAGUUGACUGAUCCUCCUGACAAGUUUGCACAAAAAAUGCAUAUGAUGACAUUUUGCCUCUUGGCUUCUUAGGAUCUCCUUUACCCAUGUUUAGUUAUUUAGGUUACUUUGUAGGAUCUAGGUUUUUCCUAUGCCCCCAUAAGAAUAAUAGCUUUGAAAUUUAUGCCAGGAUAGCAAAGAAGAUACUUAGCUUUAGAUGGUGUGGCUGCAGCCAGGAUUUUUGCGAGGAGAGGUGAUUAGGGCAGAUUUCUUACUCUCCUUGCCUCGUCUGUAACGUGGGGAUAAUAAUAGAAUGGGCCUGACAAGGUUGGAAUUAGUAUUACAUGAUUAAGACAUGUAAAGUGUUACAUGAUUAAGACAUGUAAAGUGUUUAGAAUGGUGCCAAGUAUUUAGGAAGUACUUGGGUAUGAGGUGGCGGUGGUAGUGAUGUCAUACUCUUACAUGCAUAUCAUUCCAAGAGAGUUUUAAAUGUAUACAUUAUUGUAUUGAUAUAUAGAAAUUAAGCUUCUAGACUCUCUUUCCUUGAUUCUGAAACCCUACCGAAGGUCAUAUCGAUCUCUUUCCAACAUUAUUUUUUACUGCUUCAAGUAUCAUAUGCUGCAGUCACGUUUAACUCUCAUGGUUCUCUUGUAC